UGGGGAAUAUUGGACAAUGGGCGCAAGCCUGAUCCAGCCAUGCCGCGUGAGUGAUGAAGGCCCUAGGGUUGUAAAGCUCUUUCACCGGUGAAGAUAAUGACGGUAACCGGGGAAGAAGCCCCGGCUAACUUCGUGCCAGCAGCCGCGGUAAUACGAAGGGGGCUAGCGUUGUUCGGAUUUACUGGGCGUAAAGCGCACGUAGGCGGACUUUUAAGUCAGGGGUGAAAUCCCGGGGCUCAACCCCAGAACUGCCUUUGAUACUGGAAGUCUUGAGUAUGGUAGAGGUGAGUGGAAUUCCGAGUGUAGAGGUGAAAUUCGUAGAUAUUCGGAGGAACACCAGUGGCGAAGGCGGCUCACUGGACCAUUACUGACGCUGAGGUGCGAAAGCGUGGGGAGCAAACAGG
Molecule: ribosomal RNA, 404 nt
Filed under: Actinomycetes bacterium
Lineage: Bacteria; Bacillati; Actinomycetota; Actinomycetes
Description: Actinobacteria bacterium partial 16S ribosomal RNA
Rfam family: Bacterial small subunit ribosomal RNA
Source: RNAcentral